GAUGAACGCUGGCGGCGUGCCUAAUACAUGCAAGUCGAGCGAACAGAUAAGGAGCUUGCUCCUUUGACGUUAGCGGCGGACGGGUGAGUAACACGUGGAUAACCUACCUAUAAGACUGGAAUAACUCCGGGAAACCGGGGCUAAUGCCGGAUAACAUUUUGAACCGCAUGGUUCUAUAGUGAAAGACGGUUUUGCUAUCACUUAUAGAUGGACCCGCGCCGUAUUAGCUAGUUGGUAAGGUAACGGCUUACCAAGGCAACGAUGCGUAGCCGACCUGAGAGGGUGAUCGGCCACACUGGAACUGAGACACGGUCCAGACUCCUACGGGAGGCAGCAGUAGGGAAUCUUCCGCAAUGGGCGAAAGCCUGACGGAGCAACGCCGCGUGAGUGAUGAAGGUCUUCGGAUCGUAAAACUCUGUUAUUAGGGAAGAACAAAUGUGUAAGUAACUGUGCACGUCUUGACGGUACCUAAUCAGAAAGCCACGGCUAACUACGUG
This 497-nucleotide ribosomal RNA is filed under the name uncultured bacterium. Its description in RNAcentral is "partial 16S ribosomal RNA". It matches the Rfam family "Bacterial small subunit ribosomal RNA", at positions 28 to 507 of the family's 1533-position model. The record is from RNAcentral.